GAUGAACGCUGGCGGCGUGCCUAAUACAUGCAAGUCGAGCGAAAGGAUGCGAAGCUUGAUUCUAUGCUGUUAGCGGCGGACGGGAGAGUAACACGUGGAUAACCUACAUACAAGAAUGGGAUAACUAAAGGAAACCGAAGCUCAUACAGGAUAAUAUUUUGAACCGCCUGGUUCAAAAGAGAAAGCCGGUCUUGCUGUCCCUUCUAGAUGGAUCCGCGCUGCAUUAGCUAGUUGGUAAGGUAACGGCUUACCAAGGCAACGAUGCAUAGCCGAACUGAGAAGGUGAGCUAGCCGGCUGGAACGGAGGAACGGCCCAGACUGCUACGGGAGGCAGCAGUAGGGACUCCGGCGGGAAGGGGGGGAGCCUAAUGGAGCAAGGCCGCGUGAGUGAUGCAGGUAUUCUGAUCGUAAAACGAUGUUAUUAGGAAAGUACAGAGGUGUAAGUAAGGAUGCAGAUCGUGACGGUACCUAAUGAGGAAGCCACGGCUAACUACGUG
RNAcentral lists this ribosomal RNA (497 nucleotides) under uncultured bacterium. RNAcentral describes it as "partial 16S ribosomal RNA". It matches the Rfam family "Bacterial small subunit ribosomal RNA", at positions 28 to 507 of the family's 1533-position model. The record is from RNAcentral.